Molecule: ribosomal RNA, 427 nt
Filed under: Lactobacillus kefiranofaciens
Lineage: Bacteria; Bacillati; Bacillota; Bacilli; Lactobacillales; Lactobacillaceae
Description: bacterial SSU rRNA
Rfam family: Bacterial small subunit ribosomal RNA
Source: RNAcentral
AGUAGGGAAUCUUCCACAAUGGACGCAAGUCUGAUGGAGCAACGCCGCGUGAGUGAAGAAGGUUUUCGGACCGUAAAGCUCUGUUGUUGGUGAAGAAGGAUAGAGGUAGUAACUGGCCUUUAUUUGACGGUAAUCAACCAGAAAGUCACGGCUAACUACGUGCCAGCAGCCGCGGUAAUACGUAGGUGGCAAGCGUUGUCCGGAUUUAUUGGGCGUAAAGCGAGCGCAGGCGGAAGAAUAAGUCUGAUGUGAAAGCCCUCGGCUUAACCGAGGAAUUGCAUCGGAAACUGUUUUUCUUGAGUGCAGAAGAGGAGAGUAGAACUCCAUGUGUAGCGGUGGAAUGCGUAGAUAUAUGGAAGAAUACCAGUGGCGAAGGCGGCUCUCUGGUCUGCAACUGACGCUGAGGCUCGAAAGCAUGGGUAGCGAA